GACGAACGCUGGCGGCGUGCUUAACACAUGCAAGUCGAACGGAAAGGCCCUGCUUUUGUGGGGUGCUCGAGUGGCGAACGGGUGAGUAACACGUGAGUAACCUGCCCUUGACUUUGGGAUAACUUCAGGAAACUGGGGCUAAUACCGGAUAGGAGCUCCUGCUGCAUGGUGGGGGUUGGAAAGUUUCGGCGGUUGGGGAUGGACUCGCGGCUUAUCAGCUUGUUGGUGGGGUAGUGGCUUACCAAGGCUUUGACGGGUAGCCGGCCUGAGAGGGUGACCGGCCACAUUGGGCCUGAGUUACGGCCAGACCCCCUCCGGGAGGGAGCGGUGGGAAAUGUGGCACAAUGGGGGGAGCCCUGAUGCAGCCCCGCCGCGUGCGGGAGGACGGCUUUCGGUUUGAAACCCCCUUUCCCCUGGGACAAAGGGGGUGUGACGGUAAGGGGUAAGAAGCCCCCGGCUAACUCCGUG
This 468-nucleotide ribosomal RNA is filed under the name uncultured bacterium. Its description in RNAcentral is "partial 16S ribosomal RNA". It matches the Rfam family "Bacterial small subunit ribosomal RNA", at positions 28 to 507 of the family's 1533-position model. The record is from RNAcentral.